Molecule: ribosomal RNA, 497 nt
Filed under: uncultured bacterium
Lineage: Bacteria
Description: partial 16S ribosomal RNA
Rfam family: Bacterial small subunit ribosomal RNA
Source: RNAcentral
GAUGAACGCUGGCGGCGUGCCUAAUACAUGCCAGUCGAGCGAACAGAUAAGGAGCUUGCUCCUUUGACGUUAGCGGCGGACGGGUGAGUAACACGUGGGUAACCUACCUAUAAGACUGGGAUAACUUCGGGAAACCGGAGCUAAUACCGGAUAAUAUUUCGAACCGCAUGGUUCGAUAGUGAAAGAUGGUUUUGCUAUCACUUAUAGAUGGACCCGCGCCGUAUUAGCUAGUUGGUAAGGUAACGGCUUACCAAGGCGACGAUACGUAGCCGACCUGAGAGGGUGAUCGGCCACACUGGAACUGAGACACGGUCCAGACUCCUACGGGAGGCAGCAGUAGGGAAUCUUCCGCAAUGGGCGAAAGCCUGACGGAGCAACGCCGCGUGAGUGAUGAAGGUCUUCGGAUCGUAAAACUCUGUUAUUAGGGAAGAACAUACGUGUAAGUAACUGUGCACGUCUUGACGGCACCUAAUCAGAAAGCCACGGCUAACUACGUG